GUCUACGGCCAUGCCACCCUGAACAAACCUGAUCCCGGCUGAUCCUGGAAGCUAAGCAGGGUCGGGCCUGGUUACUAAGUACUUGGAUGAGAGACCGCCUAGGAAGACCAGGUGCUGUAGGCG
RNAcentral lists this ribosomal RNA (123 nucleotides) under Pteropus alecto (black flying fox). Lineage: Eukaryota; Metazoa; Chordata; Mammalia; Chiroptera; Pteropodidae. The record is from RNAcentral.